AUAUAAUAAUUCUUCGCAGUGUCCGAUUUCCCUUUAAUGAGUGUCACACACAAGAAACUGCCUCAUAAUGAGUCAACAUGAAGUACAGAAACUUCCUGGUAAUUUACCAUGCUGAAAAGCAGACAUGCCGUGAAAUGUUAUAAGCUUUUAAACAAUCCCAAGACAAAGACGUACCUAUUGAAGUGCAGCACAUUUUUCUUCAGAAGUGGAGACAUUAGAGUUAAUAAAAAGAUGCUUCUCUACCUUACAUGAGGAAAUCUGCAGAUGCUGGAAAUUCAAGCAACACACACAAAAUGCUGAUGGAACGCAGCAGGCCAGGCAGCAUCUAUAGGAAGAAGUACAGUCGACGUUUCGGGCCGAGACCCUUCAUCAGGACUAACUGAAAGAAGAGAUAGUAAGAGAUUUAGAAGUGGGAGGGGGAGGGGAGAUCUGAAAUGAUAGGAGAAGACAGUAGGGGGAGGGAUGAAUCUAAGAGCUGGAAAGUUGAUUGGCAAAAGGGAUACAGAGCUGGAGAAGGGAGAGGAUCAUGGGACGGGAGGCCUAGGGAGAAAGAAAGGGGGAGGGGAGCACCAGAGGGAGAUGGAGAGCAGGCAAGGAGUGACUGAGAGGGACAGAGAGAGAAAAAAGAGAGAAAAAGAAAAAAAAGAAUAAACAAACAAACAAAUAAAUAAAUAGAUAAGGGAUGGGGUAGAAGGGGAGGAGGGGCAUUAACGGAAGUGAGAGAAAUCAAUGUUCAUGCCAUCAGGUUGGAAGCUACCCAGAUGGAAUAUCAGGCUGGUGGGGUGGUAGGCGAGGACAAGGGGAACCCUAUCCCUGGUGGGGUGGCAGGAGGAUGGGGUGAGAGCAGACCUGUGUGAAAUGGAAGAGAUGUGUUUGAGAGCAGAGUUGAUGGUGGAGGACAGGAAGCCCCUUUCUUCAAAAAAGGAAGACAUCUCCUUCGUCUUGGAAUGAAAAAUCUCAUCCUGAGAGUAGAUGUGGCGGAGAUGGAGGAAUUGUGAGAAGAGGAUGGCAUUUUUGCAAGAGACAGGGUGGGAAAAGGAAUAGUCCAGUUCAAAUGUUAUGCUGCAGUUCAACUAAUUCAAAGGAAGACAUGGGAGUCCAAACUUGAUGUCCUGAUUAAGGGUCUCAGCCCAAAACGUCAACUCUAUUCUUUUCCAUAGUCAGUGCCUGGCCUGCCAAGUUCCUUCAGCAUUUUGUGUGUGUUGCUUGGACUUCCAGCAUCUGUAGAUUUUCUCUUGUUUGUAACAGAUGUUGCCUGAUCAGCUGAAUACCUCCAACACUUUGUUUGCUGAAAGAGGUUUAAUUAACUCACAGAAAUCUCCAUCCCUCCAAAAGUACUACAAGCUUUCCACAUUGCUCAAUGCAAUAUGCAUCCAUCACCUAAGAAUCCUUCAUCUGAAACAAUGAACAUCCAUUGAACCAAACUUCAGACCCAAAGCUAUCUGCUAUAAUUCCAUCAUUGCAAUUGUUCAACAAAUGAGAUAACAAAUGAGAUGACACGUCUUUUCCUAUAGCAAGACAAAAUGGUGUACGAUCACAAAUUCAGCAGUCUGCAAGUGUUAAAUGUCACUACUGUGCAGGAGAGCAACUGCUACAUUUCUUAAAUUGCAGAAGCUAAAGAAAAUAACAUGCUUUUAUCUAAUUCUCCUCUUCUUGGUCAACUUCCUCCUUAACCACCAUCUCUUUUCACCAAUAUUUUUAGGUAGUGUUCCUGCAAGUGUGAUCAGCUCAACCUUGUGGGAGCUGAGCAGGUGAUUGUUAGCAAGUGCCUUUAUUUCUCAUUACAAGGGACAUUUCAAUGCACUGAAGCUACCAUUUGAGAUCACCGACAAUUAUUUCAGAAACUGUAAACACUGAACAUCGGAUUCCAUAUAUACUGCCUUACUGGCAUUCAUAAUAAAACUAUGACUGAGGAUAGAUUUUGAUACAAGGCGGGCAUCUUUUACACUUUCUGAUGCUUCGGUUCUGGCAAUUAUAACUUUUGAAUUGACCCAUUUCACGACUAUUAACUCUGUAAAUCAGAUUGCUUCCCACCAUUUCCAAUUUAAAUUUCUUGGCCUACUGCCAGAAAGUUUGCUCUAUGUCGGCAUUGCUGAGCACAGCAAAAACUGUAAGCCUGCUCAGUAUAAGUUGGGGGAAGGCAGGUGAAAAUGCAUUAAUUUUCAUUGAGGAGUCUGCAGUGGAAGGAUGAGCAGGUUCAAUUUCCUGGGUAUCAACAUGUUAGAGGAGCAAUCCUGAGCUCAGAGCAUAGAUACAACCAUCUCUACUUUCUUAAACUUUAAGGAGAUUCAGCAUUUCAUCAACCAUAUUGACAAACUUCCUCAGAUGUACAUUGGAAAGCAUUUUAGCUGGUUGUAUCAUAGAUUGGUAUGAAAACUCCAAUAUAAUAGGAAUGCAAGAGGCUACAGAGAGCGAUUGACUCAGCAAGUUCCAAAUGGGUACAGCUUUCCUUAUCAUCAAAGGCACCUACAAGAGGUGCCAGGAUGCAACCUUCCUGAUGUCUCAGGAAGGUAGCAUCCAUCAUAAGGAAUACCUACAAUCCUGGCCAGACCUUCUUCCCGAUGCUGCCAUCAGGUGGUUUGUAUAGGACCCUGAAGCCCUGUACCUUAAGGUUUAACAACAACUUCUUAUCCACUGCCACCAGGUUCUUUAAUUGACUUGGAAAACAUUAGCACUACCUCAGAUUAUUUUCUCUCUCUCUCAAUUUUGCACUAAUGUCUUAAUUUUUACUUUGUGGCUUAUUUUGGAUAAGUGAAAGUUAUGUAAAAUUUAUGCUAAUUGGUUUGUAUUCAUGUUUUUCCUCCUCUUGUAUUGUGCAGCUGCUGCAAAAACGCUAAUUGUUCCACGGCAUUUGUACCUGACAUAUUACAACAAUA
Hypanus sabinus (Atlantic stingray) is the source of this 2876-nucleotide long non-coding RNA. RefSeq lists it as uncharacterized. The transcript is spliced from 6 exons. NCBI's taxonomy places the organism in Eukaryota, Metazoa, Chordata, Chondrichthyes, Myliobatiformes, Dasyatidae. The record is from RefSeq and is a predicted model, not a curated record.